UACGGAGGGUGCAAGCGUUAUCCGGAUUCACUGGGUUUAAAGGGUGCGUAGGUGGGCUGGUAAGUCAGUGGUGAAAUCUCCGAGCUUAACUCGGAAACUGCCAUUGAUACUAUCAGUCUUGAAUACCGUGGAGGUCAGUAGAAUAUGUCAUGUAGCGGUGAAAUGCUUAGAUAUGACAUAGAAUACCAAUUGCGAAGGCAGCUGGCUACACGAAGAUUGACGCUGAGGCUCGAAAGCGUGGGGAUCAAACAGG
This 253-nucleotide ribosomal RNA is filed under the name uncultured bacterium. RNAcentral's name for it is "partial 16S ribosomal RNA". It matches the Rfam family "Bacterial small subunit ribosomal RNA", at positions 524 to 776 of the family's 1533-position model. The record is from RNAcentral.